RNAcentral lists this ribosomal RNA (373 nucleotides) under Proteus mirabilis. Its description in RNAcentral is "partial 23S ribosomal RNA". It matches the Rfam family "Bacterial large subunit ribosomal RNA", at positions 1 to 415 of the family's 2925-position model. The record is from RNAcentral. Lineage: Bacteria; Pseudomonadati; Pseudomonadota; Gammaproteobacteria; Enterobacterales; Morganellaceae.
GGUUAAGCGAAUAAGCGUACACGGUGGAUGCCUAGGCAAUCAGAGGCGAUGAAGGACGUGCUAAUCUGCGAAAAGCGUCGGUAAGGUGAUAUGAACCGUUAUACCCGACGAUAUCCGAAUGGGGAAACCCAGUAUCCAAUGAUACUAUCAUUAACUGAAUCCAUAGGUUAAUGAGGCGAACCGGGAGAACUGAAACAUCUCAGUACCCCGAGGAAAAGAAAUCAACCGAGAUUCCCCUAGUAGCGGCGAGCGAACGGGGAGCAGCCCAGAGUCUUAAUCAAUAGCAGUGUCAGGAGAACGGUCUGGAAAGUCCGGCAGUAAAGGGUGAUAGCCCCGUAUCUGAAGAUGCUGUUAUUGUGAACUCGACGAGUAG